CACUCAAACAAAUAACGGUGGAGAUUCAAAUCAUAUUACUCGACCAAACCACAAAGCACACUGACAUUUGCCAUUUGGUUGACUUUCUAUUUACAUCCUAAACAUAAACAACGGGAUUGAACAUAAACAAUCGAGCAGAUCAAAAGCCAACAAAAGGGCGAAAAGGCAAAACAGCGUUGUAAAUAUUAUAAAAAAAAAUGAACAAAAAAAAUAGUAACUUACCACCGCUUCUUUGACUCAUCUAUCGCAAAAUUUAGAGUAUAUUUUGAGACUUUUAAUGAGUUGGUCACAGGUCACUUCCC
Paramuricea clavata is the source of this 302-nucleotide non-coding RNA. The record is from the annotation of a GenBank genome assembly. Lineage: Eukaryota; Metazoa; Cnidaria; Anthozoa; Malacalcyonacea; Plexauridae.